GCCGAAAGGCUGAACCAGUAACUUGGAAGAAUGAAAGUGUAUUAUAAUAAUACAAUAACGAUUAAGUCGUAUAAAAUUCUAAAUAGAAUAAUGAUAAUGACAAUUUUCUAUUUAUAAGUCUUGACCAAACUACGUGCCAGCAGUCGCGGUAAUACGUAGAAGACUAGUGUUAAUCAUCUUUAUUAGGUUUAAAGGGUACCUAGACGGUAAAUUAAACUCUAAAUGAGUACUUGUUUACUAGAGUUUUAUGUAAGGAGGAAGAAUUUCUGGAGUAGUGAUUUAAUAUGAAUAAUCUCAGAGAGACUGGUAACGGCGAAGGCAUCCUUCUAUGUAAAAACUGACGUUGAGGGACGAAGGCUUGGGUAGCGAGAAGGAUUAGAUACCCUAGUAGUCCAAGCAGACAAUGAUGAAUGUCAUAGACUAGAUAUAAAUUUAGUCUAUAAAUGAAAGUGUAAGCAUUCCACCUCAAGAGUACUAUGGCAACAUAUAAACUGAAAUCAUUAGACCGUUUCUGAGACCAGUAGUGAAGUAU
RNAcentral lists this ribosomal RNA (532 nucleotides) under Aspergillus silvaticus. RNAcentral's name for it is "SSU rRNA". It matches the Rfam family "Bacterial small subunit ribosomal RNA", at positions 374 to 940 of the family's 1533-position model. Lineage: Eukaryota; Fungi; Ascomycota; Eurotiomycetes; Eurotiales; Aspergillaceae. The record is from RNAcentral.